UGCAUAAGCUGCCGUAUGUUACUGUCAAAAAAUGAACGAAAAGCCUGUCAAAUGCAUAACGAACGCAGAGUAGACAUUUGAAUGACUAUAAUGUGCUUACAUGCAUAAGAAGAAAGUGUCAAUAAGCAAUUUGUGUUUUGGUUUUGUUUCGUUUGAAUUUUGCAAAAAUGAACAGAAAGUUAAAAUAUUUAAAAACAAUAAAAAUCCUUACGUCUGUUUUAGACGGAAUACGCAUAUUGACAGAAAUUAGUGAAAUUACAAAAAACAGAGUUCGGUCGUGUUCAGUGAGGGAAAUAAACAGAAAGAGGAAGAAGGAUGGUUUCUUUGUACGAUUCCUGGAAAUGAAGAGGAUUGACCACGCUGAUUUUUUUAUAUACACGCGAAUGACGCCACAAGUAUAUGGGCUUUUGCUUACUCUUGUUGAGCCCUUUUUAAAAAAAGAAUUCGUUGAGGGAGCCUGUGCAACCGGAAUGUCGAUUAGCUUUGACAUUACAAUAUUUGUCACAAGGAACUUCGUUUCAAUCGUUGGCAUGGUCAUUUCAACUGGGGAAGGAAACGGCUAGGCGCAUUAUUCUGGAGACAGCUGAAGUCCUUUGGACAAAGUUAGGCGCUGUUUAUGUAUCUGAGCCUAAUGAAGAAGAUUUCAAGCAAAUUUCUCAAGACUUCUGGGAACUGUGGAAUAUGCCCAACUGUGUUGGAUCUAUUGAUGGGAAGCAUAUCGCUAUUCGAUGCCCACCUAAAAGCGGUAGUCAAUUUUUCUGCUACAAAAAUUUUUUUUCUAUUGUAUUGUUAGCAGUGUGUGAUGCCCGAUAUCGGUUUACCUAUAUAGAUAUUGGUGCAUAUGGAAGUCAGAGUGAUGGUGGUAUUUUUCAAGUGAGUCGAGUGGGAAAGAG
This is a long non-coding RNA of Bactrocera neohumeralis, 893 nucleotides long. RefSeq lists it as uncharacterized. The record is from RefSeq and is a predicted model, not a curated record. Lineage: Eukaryota; Metazoa; Arthropoda; Insecta; Diptera; Tephritidae. The transcript has 3 exons.